RNAcentral lists this non-coding RNA (46 nucleotides) under Schistosoma mansoni. The record is from RNAcentral. Lineage: Eukaryota; Metazoa; Platyhelminthes; Trematoda; Strigeidida; Schistosomatidae.
AUCCAGCUGACGAGUCCCAAAAUGGGACAAAACAUGCAUCCUGGAU